UUCUCUGUGCCUGAGUCAUCUCAAGUGUAGUAUCUGUUUUUAGUUUAAUAUCUGAUACGAACUCUAUCCAAGAACAAUAUAUUAAAUGGAGUUUUGGAACAGGGCGAUGGACUAGGGGCUUGCUCUGUCCACUCCAUGCAUUGACCUGGUAUUGUAAUACCUCCAGGAAUGGUGCACUUUCC
Small nuclear RNA from Tachyglossus aculeatus (Australian echidna), 182 nucleotides. RefSeq annotates it as U2 spliceosomal RNA. The record is from RefSeq and is a predicted model, not a curated record. Lineage: Eukaryota; Metazoa; Chordata; Mammalia; Monotremata; Tachyglossidae. The transcript has a single exon.